RNAcentral lists this long non-coding RNA (217 nucleotides) under Mytilus galloprovincialis (Mediterranean mussel). Lineage: Eukaryota; Metazoa; Mollusca; Bivalvia; Mytilida; Mytilidae. The record is from RNAcentral.
CUAGAAAAGAAAUGAAGAAAGAUGAUAUUGAGUUGAUUAUCUAAGCACUUAUUUUGCUAUCAAAAUGAAAUGCUGAGGCUCCUAAUUUAAUAUUUGAAUUAGAUUUAUUUACAUUUCUAUUUAAAGGGAAUACUAAAACUGCACACAGGAUAAAUAUAAUAUUACAUGCACAUCUGCUCCCCCUUCCACCACAUAAGUAAAGGAAUAAUUACCACAC